UACAGGGGGGGCAAGCGUUGUUCGGAAUUACUGGGCGUAAAGGGCUCGUAGGCGGCCAACUAAGUCCGACGUGAAAUCCCAAAGCUUAACUUUGGAACUGCGUCGGAUACUGGAUGGCUUGAGUUUGGGAGAGGGAUGCGGAAUUCCAGGUGUAGCGGUGAAAUGCGUAGAUAUCUGGAGGAACACCGGUGUCGAAGGCGGCAUCCUGGACCAAUUCUGACGCUGAGGAGCGAAAGCCAGGGGAGCAAACGGG
This 253-nucleotide ribosomal RNA is filed under the name uncultured bacterium. Its description in RNAcentral is "partial 16S ribosomal RNA". It matches the Rfam family "Bacterial small subunit ribosomal RNA", at positions 524 to 776 of the family's 1533-position model. The record is from RNAcentral.